CUUUUGGCACUCCCUCGCGCUCCUUUCUCCGGUGGCAUAGCAUCCUGUGGGUUGAAACACGAGAAAACAAACCAUAAGAUGUGCCAAAAUGGGGCGCUCUAUUCUCUUUCACUGUCUCAGAGUCUCAAACUCAUCUCCACGCCUCAGUUCUUCGCUCGGGUCGCCCGGUGGUAAAAACUGGAAAAAAAUCGCCGCCAAUUCGUCAGCACUGCUCACUAAUCAGACACAACGGCUGUGGUUUUCGUUGUCACUGCAGUGUCUCGCUCUCGCAACCUGCUGCUCCCGAGACGUUCAGAAGCUCUGCAAGAUUAUGUUACCAUAUGAUACACAACAAUUAUCAAAGGCAAAAAGGGAUACAGCGGCUAUCUAUUUGGCAUGUGGAGUUGACACCUCCAAGGCUUCUGUUUUCAUGCAGUCUCAUGUUCAUGCCCAUGUAGAAUUGACGAGGCUACUAAGUUCUACCACACCAAUUGGUUGGCUGAAUAGAAUGAUUCAGUUUAAGGAGAAAUCUCGUAAAGUGGGAGAUGAAAAUGUUGAGUUGCUCUCUUGACUUAUCCUGUUUUGCUGGCUUCUGAUAUUCUUUUAUAUCAGGUUCCUGAACACCUAAUAACGCCAGCUGGAGCCCAAGUUAUGUCCCUCACUGAUGAUCUUUCCAAGGUUACAAGCCCUUUAAGUUGUAUGUUAUAGUUUAUGAUUUCAUGAGGUGUCUUGAAUAUAUUUUGGUAUCAAUUAAAGGACAAAACUCAACAAAAUAAUUUCUUUUUUGCAUCUACCCUUGUAUUGCUAGUAUUACAGAUUUGUUGUUAUAACAUGCGGAGCUAUGAUAAAGAAUAAUUAAUAAAAUCUUCUUUUAAUUGCUAUAGUUUUUAUAGUUUGAAUACUUCUUUUCCUUACUGUAAUUUCUCUGGGGUUAAAUCCUAUAGAUGUCCAAGUCUGCACCUUCAGAUCUGUCUCAUAUCAAUCUUCUUGAACCCAAAGAUGUGAGAAGACAAUUCUCUUUCCAUUUUCUUGACUUUCUUUCCGAAUGUUGUAACAUGUUCAGGGUUUUAUUAUUGAUGCUUUCCAAUUUAAAGCCCCAAUGAUAUGCUCCUUUCUGCUGAAUUAUUUUGUAUUUUUUUUCAGCCUUCUGGUCUUGCUGUUAUCAGUGUGUAGGUUACGUGGUCAACUGGCUGAAAUUUUAUUUUGUAAAUGCUAAUUGAUUUGAAUCCCAAAUUUUACUGCAUAUUGUCCUCGGAUGACAAGUCUGCUUUGACCGCAGAAUGCCAAUAAAGUUUCUUUUGUCACCAGCCUUUCAUCAAAAAGUUGUUUCACUAUUCUCAUUUUUACCUGUUGUUGAUUUAUUUUUUCAAUGAUUUUAAGCAAUAAAACAGCUUUAGUUACACAAAUUGUACUUGUGUUUUAAGUUCAAAAAGUUUUACUGUAGAACUAAAUUUCUCAGCAUUAAAGAAAAUAUCUGUAGGAGGUAUUUUGGAGAAAAUAUCUGUACUACGACAGCCUUAAAGUUAACUUUUGAAUAAUCCAUCAUUGCCCACAAAAUUUUGGAGUAUACUGUUAUCAUAUUCUUGAUGAGUUAAAAAAAAAAGGAAUUUAUUUGAAGGCCCACAAAUUUUUUGUUUCAGUUGCCUCAACCUCUCCCUUCCAGACAGGUGCAUUUUAUAUUCCUUAUAAUUCACUGUACUUGGUAGUUUUACUCUUCUUUUCCUCUCACCAAUUGUUAUGUAAUUGGAUUGAGUAUUUAAUGAUGCUUGUUUUGGUUGUCCUAUGGUAAUGUAAUACUAUUUUCUCAAGUCUUCCAAGGAUCCUAAGUUGUUAUCUUGUUUGGUAUAAGGAAAUAGCUUCAUGACUUGUUCUUCUUGUCUAUGUAAUUGCCUAGCAUGCUUGAUAGGUUAAGAUGCUUCACUUUUCUAUAUUUGUGCUCUCUGGUAAAUUACUGGUUGUCAUGCCUCUAAUUUCUUGGAACAUUUUUUUUUGCCAUGUGAGGUUUGGGGCAACUUCACUGGUAAAAUCUUGACUGGUGGAACUGUUGUUAUUUUAUAGCCUCUUAAUACUCAUAGGACAUAAGAUGGAUUAAUACCAUACUCAACUAUUCAUUAAGCCUGACUGCAAUAUAAUAAGAAAUCUCUCUCUAUACUGUAAUAUGUACCCUGGUUAGAACAUGCAAGCUUCUUUUUCAUUAAUAAAGCGGUGAACUAUUCCUAUUUCACAUUUUAAGAUUUUUAAUAAAUUUAUGCUAUUAUAAGGGCAUGGAGAUCAGUAUUAAGUGCCCUACAUGUGGAGAAAUAUUUGUGCCUCUUUAUCUUUUAUAAGUUCUUUAGAAAACCUUUACAUGUAGGGUUCAUCACAUCCAUGGUGGAAUUCCUAUCAAAAUGAGAUAGUGAUUGCAAGAAAGAAUGCCUAUCCUUCCAAUGGGAGGUGAUCUAUUUAUAUUCUUUUCCCAUUCCACCCACCAGCAUCCUUUGUUUCCUUUUACAAAGAAGAUGGGACCCCACAUCUGUAAAUAUUGUUGGAUAGAGACAAAAAUGUCAAGGGGUAAAAUUUUUUUCUUCUCUCCCUCCCUCUCUUUCAUUGGUGGGGGCAAAGGAAUAAAGAGAGCAUUUCUGCUCAAUACUUCUUUCUCCUUUAAAUGAAUAGAGAAUUGCACAAACAGAUGGACAGAGAAAGACAUGUCUGCUUGUUUAAAGGAAAAAAAUCUUGAUAGAAUUUUGCACAAUUAUUGUUUCGUAAGCAAAUGAAAAGGAGAAAGAAAUGGAGAUGUCAUUGUACUAGCCUUGGAUCUACAUAUAUGAUCUUGACAGAGACAUCAUCUGGGGAAGAAAUUCUAGGUGUUGUGCCUUGUUAAGAUUGGACGUGACAAAGCCAAAAGAACUCUAGAUAUACAUAUGCUCUCACGAGCUUAUAUGCUUCUGCCACAUUCCCUCUCCCACAUAGGAUCAGGUUGUUUUCUUUUCCUCUUCCUCUUUUCCGGUGUGAAUGAUCAAAACCAUCAGACUAAUGACACCAGAUCUUAUCUUAUUGGUAUGGAUAACAGAUACUGACCCACAUCUUUCACUUGUUUGCCUUAGAAGAUUUCAACUUAAGAAUGUAAUUAAAUCCUAUAAUGGUGGUUUGUAUAUGAGUCAAUUUAAAUUACAACGUUCUUAUUUAUUCAUUCGCUAUUAUUGCAUCUUCUUCAUUAUUGUUUAUUUUUCAGGAACCCAAUAAACUUUCUGCAUAAAACUACAAAGUGGAGAAGAUGCGCAUAAAUUGACAGAGAAGUUGAGCUUACUUUCUCUCUCUCUCUUUUUUCCUUUUUGUCCUAAGAAAAAUGUAAGCAUCUUUAGUUAUUGAUUAAAUUGAAGCAUCAAAUUAUUGGUUGCCAAGUAGGAUUCAGAAUCUUCAUGCAUCUUUAUUGGUAAGAUGAUAUAUUUUGACAUGUACACCUCUUGUCUUGUUUUUAUAUCAUCUUCCUCUCACCAUCCCCUUUAAUAAUCUAUAAAGACCUUGCUUGCUUGUUGAUAUAGAGCAGCAAUUUAGUAGUCUCAAAAAGGCCCAUUAUAUGUUGCAAGAGAAUUAAUAAUAUUUCUCAUCCAACUACCUUUGUUGUCUUAUUCAAUUCUCCACCAUUUUGCUGCUUCUUUGAGAAUGGACAGAAAUCACUUGCAAUGCCAACUUGCCCACACAAAGAAGUCUCUCUUUGAUCAGGUUACAUCAACAUUCCAAUGACAGCAAUUACAUUUGUUAAGUUCACCUAUAUACAUAAUUGGCAAUUUAAAGCUACAAUUUUAUAUUUAUUAAAUAUUUUUUGUAGUUUUCUUUCAUGAAAAUCGAGAAAAAAAUUGCAUUUACAUUACCAAUCAAACACAUUUUAAGUACUGCUCAGUUCAAAAUUCUGCAUGCGCACAGUAGUCUGCAGAUAGUUUAGAACCCAUGAUGUGGUAACCUGUAAAGGCAUUACUCAUGCGACCGAAACGUGACAGAACUAGUAACAAAGAUUCAAUUGACAAACAAGCUUUCUUAUUAUCAUGAAUUCUUGAUUAGUGGCAGUUGCAUUUUUAUGUACUAAAGCUAAUGGUUGAAUUAAAUUGUGCUCAGCAGUAAGUGGACAACUUAGUUUUUCUUAAAUGGUGUUGCAGGGGUAUAUUGAUAAAGAGCAAUUCAAUCAGCUGGAGGAAUUGCAAGAUGAUGCUAACCCUAAUUUUGUAGAGGAAAUUGUUACAUUGUUCUACAAUGAUUCAGCAAGAUUGAUACAGAAUAUAGAACAUACU
RNA transcript from Mangifera indica (mango), 4244 nucleotides. It is a transcript of the gene named histidine-containing phosphotransfer protein 4-like, with no coding region annotated. The record is from RefSeq and is a predicted model, not a curated record. Lineage: Eukaryota; Viridiplantae; Streptophyta; Magnoliopsida; Sapindales; Anacardiaceae. The transcript is spliced from 7 exons.